UGGUCAGGAGGGAGUCUAGCAUUUCCAGUACUGGUGUGGUAACGGUAUGGUGGUCAGGAGGGAGUCUAACGCUCCCAGUACUGGUGUGGUGCCGGUAUACUGGUCAGGAGGGAGUCUAGCGCUCCCAGUACUGGUGUGGUGCCGGUAUGGUGGUCAGGAGGGAGUCUAGCGCUCCCAGUACUGGUGGGGUGCCGGUGUGCUGGUCAGGAGGGAGUCUAGCGUUCCCAGUACUGGUGUGGUGCCGGUAUACUGGUCAGGAGGGAGUCUAGCGCUCCCAGUACUGGUGUGGUGCCGGUGUGCUGGUCAGGAGGGAGUCUAGCGCUCCCAGUACUGGUGGGGUGCCGGUGUGCUGGUCAGGAGGGAGUCUAGCGCUCCCAGUACUGGUGUGGUGCCGGUGUGCUGGUCAGGAGGGAGUCUAACACUCCCAGUACUGGUGUGGUGCCGGUAUACUGGUCAGGAGGGAGUCUAACACUCCCAGUACUGGUGUGGUGCCGGU
Molecule: long non-coding RNA, 496 nt
Organism: Brienomyrus brachyistius
Lineage: Eukaryota; Metazoa; Chordata; Actinopteri; Osteoglossiformes; Mormyridae
Exons: 3
Source: RefSeq, a predicted model, not a curated record